UCUUAAAUAUCAGCAGAUAUUUCUUUGACCAUCUGCACUAAUAAUUUCUCUACACGUGCUGGCAACAUUCGGUCAAGACCCAGUAGCUUUCAUUUGAAUUAGCAUACCUGCCAUGGACUGUUUUUUUUUUUUCAUUUUCAUUUAAUUUAAUUAUUGCUUAACUUAAAAAUGGUAAAAUUGAAAUUUACUCGUUUCAACCCAUGGCAUAUGGUAAUAGCGGUGGGAGGGGUGAAAAGUUUCUUUCAUUCUGGGUUAUCUAUUGCCAGAGUGUGGCUGUGGUAUGGCAUGGCAUGGUUGCUUAUGACAUAAAUGUGUCCCAAAGGAUGGAUAGACCGAUGGGCUGCUGGCAGGAGAGUGUAUUUGCUGGGAGGUGGUUGAGUGGUUGGUUGGUUGGCUGGCUGGCUUGGCAGCCAACUUACAAAAUGGGAUGCGAUUGUUAUUCGACUAACUGAAUAAAUACAUGCAAAUAAUAAUAUUAA
Long non-coding RNA from Stomoxys calcitrans (stable fly), 479 nucleotides. RefSeq lists it as uncharacterized. NCBI's taxonomy places the organism in Eukaryota, Metazoa, Arthropoda, Insecta, Diptera, Muscidae. The record is from RefSeq and is a predicted model, not a curated record. The transcript has 2 exons.